RNAcentral lists this ribosomal RNA (253 nucleotides) under uncultured bacterium. RNAcentral describes it as "partial 16S ribosomal RNA". It matches the Rfam family "Bacterial small subunit ribosomal RNA", at positions 524 to 776 of the family's 1533-position model. The record is from RNAcentral.
UACAGAGGUCCCAAGCGUUGUUCGGAUUCACUGGGCGUAAAGGGUGCGUAGGCGGUCGGGUAAGUCUGAUGUGAAAUCUCACAGCUUAACUGUGAAACUGCAUUGGAUACUAUUCGGCUUGAGAGUUGGAGGGGGGACUGGAAUUCUUGGUGUAGCAGUGAAAUGCGUAGAUAUCAGGAGGAACACCUGUGGCGAAAGCGGCUCACUGGACCAUAACUGACGCUGAUGCACGAAAGCUAGGGGAGCAAACAGG